Molecule: ribosomal RNA, 253 nt
Filed under: uncultured bacterium
Lineage: Bacteria
Description: partial 16S ribosomal RNA
Rfam family: Bacterial small subunit ribosomal RNA
Source: RNAcentral
UACGUAGGGAGCAAGCGUUGUCCGGAAUCAUUGGGCGUAAAGCGCGCGUAGGUGGCCACAUAAGUCCGUUGUGAAAGUCAAAGGCUCAACCUUUGAAAGCCGAUGGAUACUGUGUGGCUAGAGUACGGAAGAGGCGAGUGGAAUUCCUGGUGUAGCGGUGAAAUGCGCAGAUAUCAGGAAGAACACCCGUGGCGAAAGCGGCUCUCUGGAACGGUACUGACGCUGAGACGCGAAAGCGUGGGGAGCGAACAGG